Molecule: long non-coding RNA, 1361 nt
Filed under: Marmota monax (woodchuck)
Lineage: Eukaryota; Metazoa; Chordata; Mammalia; Rodentia; Sciuridae
Source: RNAcentral
CGAGUCUUAGUUUCUUUCUUUGUAAAAGGAGGAUAACUUGUAAUCUUUGCUAUGGUUGCUAUGAAGAUUAAAUAUAAUUUUAUAAAACAUCUGGCACACAGUAGGUGUGUGUACACUAAAGGAUUGUUUGUCUAUUUACUGGGGUGUUCUAAUUUGGCAUCAGAGACUACUACUACUCUGAGGUCUUUUGUGUUCUCUCAGUCCAUUGAAUUAACCUGAAUUUUUUAUUCAGCAAUAUUUUGGAGGGUACAAUUUUUGGGGUUCUGGAGACCAAAUCCAGGGGUGCUCUACUACUGAGCUAUAUCCUCAGUCCUUUUUAUUUUGAGAUGGGGUCUCCCUAAGUUGUUGAGACUGGCCUCAAAUUUGCAGUCCUCCUGCUGGAGCCUCCUAAGUAACUGGGAUUACAGGUGUGCACCACUGCACCCAACUUGGGUACACCUAUAUGUCAGUCAUGCUAAGCAAGGGAAUACAAAGGUGGGACUAUUGUAGUCCCUGCUCUCAAAGGGCAUGCAGUCCAGUGGAGAUACCAAUGAACAGAUGAGCAAUUGCAGUUUAGUAUGGUAAAGACUAGGAAAGGAAGAACAAGCUGUUUGCAGCCAUGUCCCCAGGCUUGGGAACACUAGGGAAGCUCAGUGAUGGUGUGAGGAUAUGCAUUUGGCAGGAAAAACAGGAGACGAAAGUGGAGAGGCCCAUUUGUGGUAAGGAAUAGUGGGUGCAUAAUGGAGGGGGUCAGUGGGCCAGCUAAGGAGGCUGGGUUUUAUUAAGACAUCCUGGGAGCCCUUGAAGGAUCUGAAGCCUGGAAAUGAUGUGCUUGCUCAGGUUUUAGAAAGGUCUCUUACUGCUGUGUGGAGAUUGGGACUGGUGGGGAGGUCAAGAGAGACUCACGAAGACUGGCUGGUGAUAUGUAGUGGUACAGAGAGACCAUAAAGGCUAAACUAGGAUGGUGGUGGUAGGAUUGAAGAGAAAGAAUAGCUGGCAUAGUAGGAGAUAAACACCAAACAAGUUUUGGUGAUGGACUGAAUGCGAGGAGUGAAAUGAUCACAUUUUUGCCAGGAGCAAAUGAGUAGGAAGUUGUGCCACUAUGAGGGACUGGUUUGAAGUGUUAAGAGAAUUUCGUUGGCCUAUGUUGAAUAUGAAGCACCAGAAAGAAGUGCAAGUCAUGUCAAGUAAGAGUGGGUUUGGUGCUCAAGAGAGGCUAGGGUCACAGGGAGAAUCAACAUAUUAUGUCUAGUCCCCAAGUGUCUUCAGGGUUUUCAGAGCUGAGCCAGCAGGGGCACUCCAUACAGUAGAGAGUAAGAGCCAGGCACAGUGGCGCAGGCCUGUAAUGAGGCUGAAGCAGGCAGAUUGUGAGUUCAAAGCCA